Molecule: ribosomal RNA, 274 nt
Filed under: uncultured bacterium
Lineage: Bacteria
Description: partial 16S ribosomal RNA
Rfam family: Bacterial small subunit ribosomal RNA
Source: RNAcentral
AUACGGAGGGUGCAAGCGUUACUCGGAAUCACUGGGCGUAAAGCGCGCGCAGGCGGCUAUUUAAGUUGGAUGUGAAAGCCUACGGCUCAACCGUAGAACUGCAUCCAAAACUAUUUAGCUAGAGUGUGGGAGAGGAAGAUGGAAUUAGCUGUGUAGGGGUAAAAUCCGUAGAGAUAACUAGGAAUACCAAAAGCGAAGGCAAUCUUCUGGAACACUACUGACGCUGAGGCGCGAAGGCGUGGGGAGCAAACAGGAUUAGAAACCCCGGUAGUCC